UUAUGUACAGGUUAUCCGACUUCGUCAGUAGAUGGGAAUUAGGGUAUCCAUGAAGACAUUCAGCGAUGGGACUGACAAUCGAAAUCAAAACAAAGUGUGUAUGCGGUUGAACGGAACUCACUUCUGGUGUAAACCGCGCUUAACAAUUUCCUUUGAAUUGUUCUGUCAGUCCGGUCAGAAUCUGUCAAAAAAUCAAGGUUAACAAAAAUAGUCAGCUGUUCGCAGCUGUCUUAUGCCUUGUUCAGAUUACAGCUGAAUAACAUGUUAUUCGAAGGUGUUACUUCUGAAUAACAAAACCGUUCGCACUAGCAUUUUAGGUAAUACUAUUUGACAGCUGACAGCAUGUGUCAAGCGCCAAAUUUUUUCGAGCAGUUUGUUGUUUGUUUACAAAUAUGCAGCGAGAUUCUUCAAAUUAGAAUUCAAUUAUUAUUAAACAAUUAUUCGGUUUGCAAUAAAAUAACCGUGAUGAGAUUUAUUAUUGAUUUGCUUUUUUUCGUAAUUGCAAGAAGGGGACCAAACAUAGAAGGCUUGAGUUCAGUAUGGGAUGAAACUGAUAAUGAUUAGUGUGCGAUAAAAAGCCAGAAGUAUUUGUGUGCUUCGUUUAAAUUUUAUUUUGCUCAUUUUUCCAUCGGAAAUUGGCUAGGAACUGUGGUUACAAUCUUAGGUUUCGUCAUCGGUGAACGGGAUGUGAAGUCGAGGAUUCCAUAAAUAUUACACAGGCAGAAAGCAUCAAUGGAGCCUGGGAGGUCAAGAUUGUUCAGAAAUAAUGUUUAGCAGCUGCAAGACGAGCCAACGUGAAUUCAAGUUAAACAAAAUUGUAUUACCAAAACAGUGUGACAAUGGAAUUCACGGAGCAACCGCAGCGCGAGAAAACAGGAUUCUUGGAACCCGAGCUAACUCGCGAACAACGGUGAAAAUUCCAAAAAUAUUCAGUACUAUCGUUUGGAGCGACCGACGGCUUUUUAUUGCGAUGCGUCUAGUCCUUGGACCCAAUGGGAAGUGUCGUCAGUGUUGGUUGAUUAUUCUGCACCUAUUUUGUAGAUCCAGUUUUGCUCAAAAGGUCAUCGGAAGACCACAAGUUGCCGGUAGUGAUAGUAUUAUAAUUGGUUUUAAGAGUAAGAAACCCACCGUCGUUUCACCCACAAGAGGAUGUACGAAGUAACUUCCAAUUUUUAUAAUAAAAUAACAAUUGAACAACGCAGGAUGAUAUCGCACGUAAUCAUCAUCAGAGGAGAUGGUGAACGAGGCCAGGGACGGAACUACGUUUCGCUAGGAAGGGAUCGUGGAGUACUACUAACUAUAAUAGAUACUAGAGUAGAAUGAUUCGAC
Long non-coding RNA from Armigeres subalbatus, 1329 nucleotides. RefSeq lists it as uncharacterized. Lineage: Eukaryota; Metazoa; Arthropoda; Insecta; Diptera; Culicidae. The transcript has 4 exons. The record is from RefSeq and is a predicted model, not a curated record.